Molecule: non-coding RNA, 434 nt
Organism: Oryctolagus cuniculus (rabbit)
Lineage: Eukaryota; Metazoa; Chordata; Mammalia; Lagomorpha; Leporidae
Source: Rfam
CCAGAGAGCUGGGGUCUGGCCUGGCUGGGAGGCAGCGUGCGCCCCCGGGGCCCGGGGGUGGGGCCCCAGCAGAUGUCUGGGCUGCAGCCGGAUGCUGAGGAGGAGGCCUGCGGCUCAUUCGCACUCAGCGUCCUGAGAACAUCUGUGGCGGCGUCCGAGGCUUCGCCCUCGCUGAUCGCUGUGAUUCUCGUGUGAAGGCCAGAACUGGCUCAUUUCCGCGGUGCUGUGAUGAAGGUGAAAAGAUGCCUCUUAAUUAGAUUAAAACAUUUUUUUCUUCCUGUGUAAUUUGGCCUUGAGAAUCAAGGCCACUUUUUUGUUUUCUUCAUCCCAAGGCCUCCAGGAACUUCCCUCCCCACCUCUCCAGAGGUUUCUGGGGAAUGCCGUGUGAGCUCAGCUCCUGGAGGAGAGCGUGCUUAACCCAGAUUCCAUUGUGU